Homo sapiens (human) is the source of this 307-nucleotide long non-coding RNA. NCBI's taxonomy places the organism in Eukaryota, Metazoa, Chordata, Mammalia, Primates, Hominidae. The record is from Ensembl.
CUUUGGCACGAAAGUAACUCUUCCCUAUAUGCAACAUGAUGUUCAACAAAUUAUUAUUCAUGAAGACUACAUCCAGGAUGAACAUCAUGAUGAUAUCGCACUUAUACUGCUCACUAAAAAAGUUUUAUUUAAGAAUGAUGUACAUCGAGUUUGUCUUCCUGAAGCCACACAGAUUUUUCCACCUGGUGAAGGAGUUGUUGUUACAGGAUGGGGAAGACUUUCAUUUAAUGGGAGACUCUGGAGGACCACUAGUUCAUCCUAAUUCUCUAAAUAUUUGGUAUAUUUGGUACCUUGUUGGAGUAGUGAG